Molecule: ribosomal RNA, 451 nt
Filed under: Cupriavidus sp. S717-08
Lineage: Bacteria; Pseudomonadati; Pseudomonadota; Betaproteobacteria; Burkholderiales; Burkholderiaceae
Description: bacterial SSU rRNA
Rfam family: Bacterial small subunit ribosomal RNA
Source: RNAcentral
AUUGAACGCUGGCGGCAUGCCUUACACAUGCAAGUCGAACGGCAGCACGGGAGCAAUCCUGGUGGCGAGUGGCGAACGGGUGAGUAAUACAUCGGAACGUGCCCUGUCGUGGGGGAUAACUAGUCGAAAGAUUAGCUAAUACCGCAUACGACCUGAGGGUGAAAGCGGGGGACCGUAAGGCCUCGCGCGAAAGGAGCGGCCGAUGUCUGAUUAGCUAGUUGGUGGGGUAAAGGCCCACCAAGGCGACGAUCAGUAGCUGGUCUGAGAGGACGAUCAGCCACACUGGGACUGAGACACGGCCCAGACUCCUACGGGAGGCAGCAGUGGGGAAUUUUGGACAAUGGGGGCAACCCUGAUCCAGCAAUGCCGCGUGUGUGAAGAAGGCCUUCGGGUUGUAAAGCACUUUUGUCCGGAAAGAAAUCCCUUGCCCUAAUACGGCGGGGGGAUGACG